UCGAUGGACCAGAUCAUUUAGAGGACGAGCGGGAGGGAGGGACAUCGGAGGGCUCGUCAAGGAGGAGGUCGUCGUAGGGGUCGCGGCGGCCGAAUGCCUGGCUGAUCUGGGGGUCGCUUCUCAGCUGGGCGUUGAAGCGAUCGAAGGUCCAGAAGCCGUAGGGGCGGAGGGGAAGGUUCCAGUUGGCCUUUGUUUUCUCGCACCGCUCCCGCAUCUCGUAGAUGUGCUUCCGCUGCGCCUCGUCCCGCU
Molecule: long non-coding RNA, 249 nt
Filed under: Musa acuminata (dwarf banana)
Lineage: Eukaryota; Viridiplantae; Streptophyta; Magnoliopsida; Zingiberales; Musaceae
Description: long non-coding RNA (MACU_LNC002586)
Source: RNAcentral